UCGGGAAUUUUGGGCAAUGGGCGAAAGCCUGACCCAGCAACGCCGCGUGAAGGAUGAAGUAUUUCGGUAUGUAAACUUCUUUUGAAUGGGACGAAAAAGCCUCACUUGUGAGGAACUGACGGUACCAUUAGAAUAAGCACCGGCUAACUCCGUGCCAGCAGCCGCGGUAAUACGGAGGGUGCGAGCGUUAUCCGGAAUCACUGGGUUUAAAGGGUGCGUAGGCGGCUGUAUAAGUCAGUGGUGAAAGGCUGUGGCUUAACCAUGGGAUUGCCAUUGAUACUGUACGGCUUGAAUUAGGAUGAGGUUGGCGGAAUGUGACAUGUAGCGGUGAAAUGCUUAGAUAUGUCAUGGAACAUCGAUUGCGAAGGCAGCUGACUGGACCUUAAUUGACGCUGAGGCACGAAAGCGUGGGGAGCGAACAGGAUUAGAUACCCUUGUAGUCCCUGAGCGGGCUGGCAAGGCGCAU
Molecule: ribosomal RNA, 466 nt
Filed under: uncultured bacterium
Lineage: Bacteria
Description: bacterial SSU rRNA
Rfam family: Bacterial small subunit ribosomal RNA
Source: RNAcentral